Molecule: ribosomal RNA, 550 nt
Filed under: uncultured bacterium
Lineage: Bacteria
Description: bacterial SSU rRNA
Rfam family: Bacterial small subunit ribosomal RNA
Source: RNAcentral
UGGGGAAUCUUCCGCAAUGGACGAAAGUCUGACGGAGCAACGCCGCGUGAACGAUGACGGCCUUCGGGUUGUAAAGUUCUGUUAUACGGGACGAAUGGUACGACGGUCAAUACCCGUCGUAAGUGACGGUACCGUAAGAGAAAGCCACGGCUAACUACGUGCCAGCAGCCGCGGUAAUACGUAGGUGGCAAGCGUUGUCCGGAAUUAUUGGGCGUAAAGGGCGCGCAGGCGGCGUCGUAAGUCGGUCUUAAAAGUGCGGGGCUUAACCCCGUGAGGGGACCGAAACUGCGAUGCUAGAGUAUCGGAGAGGAAAGCGGAAUUCCUAGUGUAGCGGUGAAAUGCGUAGAUAUUAGGAGGAACACCAGUGGCGAAAGCGGCUUUCUGGACGACAACUGACGCUGAGGCGCGAAAGCCAGGGGAGCAAACGGGAUUAGAUACCCCGGUAGUCCUGGCCGUAAACGAUGAAUGCUAGGUGUUGGAGGGUUUCCGCCCUUCAGUGCCGCAGCUAACGCAUUAAGCAUUCCGCCUGGGGAGUACGACCGCAAGGUUG